Molecule: long non-coding RNA, 1073 nt
Filed under: Zea mays
Lineage: Eukaryota; Viridiplantae; Streptophyta; Magnoliopsida; Poales; Poaceae
Description: long non-coding RNA (ZMAY_LNC005388)
Source: RNAcentral
AUAACACGGUUUCAACACUCUUGGACAUGAACUAAAAAACAUCUCAGGAGAACAAUAUAAAGUACUCAAACCAAAAAAAUAGGCAUUUAAUGAAUCCAACAAAAUUUAGUAACCACAUGUUAAAAUUUCAUUGCAGUGUAGAAUAAAUUGGUGUCUCGUUUCAGGUUUGAACUAUCAUCCACCAGUUUCAAUAGCUAUCAGCAAAUUAUCAUCCACCCCUCUAGCUUUUCAAGUUUGAACUUAGCUGCGCAGGGGACAAUCAAAAUCAGGUUUGUGCAUCAGCUCUAAAAUGCAGAAAAUAGAACACAAUUCAAAACAAACUGAUAGUACCUUGUUCAUGUGGAUCCACGACGGGGAAGAUGCGUGGGGAAUGGGGGUGGGUUGGCGCCAUCGCUUGUGUCCUUCCUUUUAGAGCAGUAAUGGCGGGCAUGUUGGGUGGAAGGUAGGCAUCGUCGUUGGAAGGUUGCACCAAGGUUGGAAUGGGGCAUGGAUGGGGGCGGACGAGGGCGCUGAUUGGAAGCUUACCGCAUACUAUGGAGGUCAGCUGCCUACUAUGGAAGCUCGAUGGCGGCAAUGGAAAGAAUACCCAUUCGUGUGAUGCUAGCUCGUUGAGGGGAUAGAAGGGGGCGUCGAGUUAGGAAGGCGGGCAUCUGGAGUUAAGGGCAGGCAUGGGCAUUGCACCGGCAGGAUACACGGCGGGCAUGGGGUACGCGAGCAGGGGCAGGAAGGAGAUGAUGGCGGGUGCUGGAAUCGAGCUAGGAAGGAGAUGAGGACGAGCGUGGGCAUCACGCCAGCGGGAUUCACGACGGGAAUGGCGCGCCUUCCAUCGAGAGCGUGGGUGAGCAUCGUGGUGGAGGGGGUGAGUUUCCAUCGGCGAGGAGAGCCGGGACGGGGGCGUGAUCCAUGGUCAGCCGAUGGUGGGCGCAGGCAGCCGUCCAUGGAAGUCCAAGGCGGACGCGCGCAGAUCCGGGUGGGAGAGAGCGGAGAUGGCGGUGAGAGAGGAGAGCGGGGGCGAGAGAAACGGGGCGGGUGCGUGCGGCGAGAGAGAUGGGGCGGGGGCACGCGAAUCACGG